This 518-nucleotide ribosomal RNA is filed under the name uncultured Piloderma. Its description in RNAcentral is "eukaryotic LSU rRNA". The stretch from base 143 to 297 matches the Rfam family "5.8S ribosomal RNA". Lineage: Eukaryota; Fungi; Basidiomycota; Agaricomycetes; Atheliales; Atheliaceae. The record is from RNAcentral.
CCCGAGCCCUUAAUCCCACACACACCUGUGAACCUAUUGUAAGGGCCCGUAAAAAAGGCCUUUACGUCUUUAUCACCUACCCGAAGUCUCAUAGAAUGUAAACAUAUGUCCUCGCCUUAAAAAAGCGCUGAUAAAAUUAUACAACUUUCAACAACGGAUCUCUUGGCUCUCGCAUCGAUGAAGAACGCAGCGAAAUGCGAUAAGUAAUGUGAAUUGCAGAUUUUCAGUGAAUCAUCGAAUCUUUGAACGCACCUUGCGCUCCUUGGUAUUCCGAGGAGCAUGCCUGUUUGAGUGUCAUUAAAUUCUCAAACUCUGAUUGAUUUGUUUCAAUCGAGCUUUGGAUUUGGAGCGUGCCGGCGUCAGUUGGCUCCUCUUGAAUGCAUCAGCGGAAUCCCAUUCAUUUCGGACGUCAGUGUGAUAAUCAUGUUGCGCUGUCUUUGCGAUCUUGAAAGCCCGCUCACAAUGGUCUUCGGACAAACCUCACAUAUCAUAUUUGACCUCAAAUCAGGUAGGACUAC